GUCAAGUAUUACAUGCCAGAUUAAGGAUGAAUAGUAGUUCUCUAAAUGAACAUUUGUUCAAGCGAAAUCUAGUAGAUUCUUCAAACUGCUCGUGUGGUUUGAUCGAGCCUACAGCUCAUUUCUUAUUGCAUUGUAAAAAAUAUGACGAAUUGCGUAAUGACAUUAUUUUCUCAAUUAAUUAUCCAGUCACACUAAACACGAAUUUACUUUUAUUUGGAUCACAAGCUCUAAAUUUAGACCAAAAUAAAGAUAUUUUUGGAAAAGUACAAAAAUUCCUACUAAAGUGCAAGAGAUUUACAAGUUAAUUUGUUAUUCACUAUUCUCACUAAGUUGCAUUUCAUCUAAACAUGUGUGUAGUAUUUCGGUGUAGUUUUCUUUUUUCUUUUUUUUACUUUUUUUUCUUCUUUUGUUGUAUUUAUUUUCAUUAUUUUAAAAUGAUUUUUUUUCUCCUUUCUUUUUUGUUAUAUAGUUACUUAGUUUAUACUUGUUCCAUAUCAUAGUAACAGUGCAUGCUAUAUUUAUGUAAUAGUUAACUUGAGUUGGUAUUUCAAGGAAACGGAUUAAUAUAAGCUAUAUUGCUUGUUUCCGAAUCCUAUUAUUAUUGUGUAUUUUGUAUGAUGAUAUAUUU
This 628-nucleotide long non-coding RNA is filed under the name Mytilus galloprovincialis (Mediterranean mussel). Lineage: Eukaryota; Metazoa; Mollusca; Bivalvia; Mytilida; Mytilidae. The record is from RNAcentral.